AUAUCAAUAAGCGGAGGAAAAGAAACCAACAGGGAUUGCCCCAGUAACGGCGAGUGAAGCGGCAACAGCUCAAAUUUGAAAUCUGGCCCUCGGGUCCGAGUUGUAAUUUGCAGAGGAUGCUUUUGGUGCGGUGCCUUCCGAGUUCCCUGGAACGGGACGCCAUAGAGGGUGAGAGCCCCGUCCGGUUGGAUGCCUGGCCUCUGUAAAGCUCCUUCGACGAGUCGAGUAGUUUGGGAAUGCUGCUCUAAAUGGGAGGUAUAUGUCUUCUAAAGCUAAAUACUGGCCAGAGACCGAUAGCGCACAAGUAGAGUGAUCGAAAGAUGAAAAGCACUUUGAAAAGAGGGUUAAACAGUACGUGAAAUUGUUGAAAGGGAAGCGUUUGUGACCAGACCUGGGCUCGGUGAAUCAUCCAGCGUUCUCGCUGGUGCACUUCGCCGGCCCAGGCCAGCAUCAGUUCGCCGCGGGGGAUAAAGGCUUCGGGAACGUGGCUCCUCCGGGAGUGUUAUAGACCGUUGCGCAAUACCCCGUGGUGGACUGAGGUUCGCGCUCCGCAAGGAUGCUGGCGUAAUGGUCAUCAACGA
Molecule: ribosomal RNA, 581 nt
Filed under: uncultured fungus
Lineage: Eukaryota; Fungi
Description: eukaryotic LSU rRNA
Rfam family: Eukaryotic large subunit ribosomal RNA
Source: RNAcentral